GCGGCUUCUACUGAUCGUCAUCGGUGCGGGAGGUGAUUCUAUUCACUCACCGUCUCACAUCUGCAUCCAACCACUCGCUCUCAUCCCCUUCCUCCACUUCACUCCCCUUGCUUCUCUCCUCGCAGUUCCCCUGAAACAUAUGCCUAGAUCCACGCUGCUGCUCAAAUCGACAAGUGAUACGAGAUGAAGAAGAGCACAUCUAGCUACGAUUGAUCUUUACGGCAGCCCGAGCUCUUCCCUUCGAUUCGCCGCUUUUGAUAACUCAAGGCCAGCUAAAUCAUUCGCCAACGCCCGGUUCUUAUCAGAAGAUUUCAACAUGAACCCUGUGGACCUUCCUUCCAAAGUCAUCCUAGAUGCUAUGU
This is a long non-coding RNA of Triticum dicoccoides, 362 nucleotides long. RefSeq lists it as uncharacterized. The transcript is spliced from 3 exons. The record is from RefSeq and is a predicted model, not a curated record. NCBI's taxonomy places the organism in Eukaryota, Viridiplantae, Streptophyta, Magnoliopsida, Poales, Poaceae.